This 90-nucleotide transfer RNA is filed under the name Pengzhenrongella sicca. Its description in RNAcentral is "Micrococcales bacterium LRZ-2 tRNA-Ser". It matches the Rfam family "tRNA". From Rfam's summary of the family: Transfer RNA (tRNA) molecules are approximately 80 nucleotides in length. The record is from RNAcentral. Lineage: Bacteria; Bacillati; Actinomycetota; Actinomycetes; Micrococcales.
GGUAGCGUGUCCGAGCGGCCUAAGGAGCACGCCUCGAAAGCGUGUGUGGGGGAGACUCCACCGUGGGUUCAAAUCCCACCGCUACCGCCA